UCGGAAAGAAGGAGCUCUCCUUAGGCUGGGAGGGGCCAAGCCGCUGGCCCGUGAGCCUGGGGCAGCUCUGGACUGUGCUUGCUGUCCUUGAGGAGAAUGCAGCCAGCCCAGGGCAAAUCAGAGCCAGGCAGGAAGAAGACCUCCUUGAGAAGAAAACGGAACAUGGCCCUAACAGUGGGCAGCAUGAAACUGAGGAACACAGCAGGAAGCUGAUUUAGGCAAACUCAGCAGGAAGUGUUCCCUGUGAACCCAUGAGACUUCAUCCCUGCGUUGGUCUGGCUGGCUUUCCCUGUGAGAUACAGGUUCCUCCUGAAGAGCUGAAGCUCCAUUCCAGCUCUAGACUUCUCCUUGCUUUCAGACUUCAAGAUGAGAAGCAUUUUUCCAGUCCACAAGUGUUAGAGGACACUGCCGAUGAUGUGUGUUUUGCCCAGGCUGGACUCAGCUUCUUUGUCUCGUUUUGAAAGAAGAGUCAUGCUUCAAUUAAUAACAGACAACGGAGUCAAUAUGAAGGGAGCAGAGACAAUGAUGUGAUCAAAUGCCAAGAAAUGACUGACAGCAGAAAAAAUAUCAUGUGAGCCAAAGCAAUUUCACUUGACUUCUAACUUUAUUCAUCCAACGAAUAACAUUUCAUCACAGUUUUAUCAAUGGAAUGCAAUUCCACCCAGAUCAUUCUGUCAACGACAAGAAACAGCAUCAAAUCAUUCUGUCCACACAAAUAAAUCAAUUGUUGAUUAUUAUUUUCUUCUAUUUGGGAUACAAGGAGGACCAAAUAUUUCGAGUAAAACAAAGGAAAGGAAAGCAGAAAAACUUUUUGUUGUUGUUGACAAAUCCAGCUGGGUAAAUGCAAUUUAUGUCUUUUGAAAAAAUGCAUCCUGAUGUGAGGAGGGAUAAACUGUUUUUAAACUCGAACCAGGGACAAACUGUAAUAAUAAACACACUGGAAGAAAAUGCAACCAUUUAUUGGUUCUUGCAGAUAAAAUAGCAUUUCCAGUUUUUUUUUUUUUGUUUUUUUUUUUUGCUGUUGCUUAUGUAGUUCUCCUUACUGGAAUUCCUCUCCCUUUCUUUGAAUGUAUAAUCACAUUUUGAGAAAACACGAAAUCUCAGGGUCUUACAAAAUCCAACAGGGGAACGUGUCAUCUUUAAAUGACAAGCUGUGUGGGGAGUACUCUGGUUAUGAAUUAGGCUGUUUUUCCUAGUACUGCAAUUUCUUCUUGCUGCCAUUUCGAUGGUGUUGAAAGCCCUUUCUCCAGACUUGUAAGUUGGUGGUCCACUACUGAAUGGAAAGAAAUCUGGUUUUCCAUAUGUUCUCACUCAUAGGUGGGAAUUGAACAAUGAGAACACUUGGA
This 1346-nucleotide long non-coding RNA is filed under the name Homo sapiens (human). RNAcentral's name for it is "HSALNT0250082". The record is from RNAcentral. Lineage: Eukaryota; Metazoa; Chordata; Mammalia; Primates; Hominidae.